Molecule: ribosomal RNA, 163 nt
Filed under: Tachia guianensis
Lineage: Eukaryota; Viridiplantae; Streptophyta; Magnoliopsida; Gentianales; Gentianaceae
Description: 5.8S ribosomal RNA
Rfam family: 5.8S ribosomal RNA
About the family: 5.8S ribosomal RNA (5.8S rRNA) is a component of the large subunit of the eukaryotic ribosome. It is transcribed by RNA polymerase I as part of the 45S precursor that also contains 18S and 28S rRNA. Functionally, it is thought that 5.8S rRNA may be involved in ribosome translocation.
Source: RNAcentral
AAAAUGACUCUCGGCAACGGAUAUCUCGGCUCUCGCAUCGAUGAAGAACGUAGCGAACUGCGAUACUUGGUGUGAAUUGCAGAAUCCCGUGAACCAUCGAGUCUUUGAACGCAAGUUGCGCCCAAAGCCAUUAGGCCGAGGGCACGUCUGCCUGGGCGUCACG